CCUACGGGAGGCAGCAGUGGGGGAUAUUGCACAAUGGGGGAAACCCUGAUGCAGCGACGCCGCGUGGGUGAAGAAGCGCCUCGGCGCGUAAAGCCCUGUCAGCAGGGAAGAAAAUGACGGUACCUGAAGAAGAAGCCCCGGCUAACUACGUGCAAGCAGCCGCGGUAAUACGUAGGGGGCAAGCGUUAUCCGGAUUAACUGGGUGUAAAGGGGGCGCAGACGGCGAUGCAAGCCAGGAGUGAAAGCCCGGGGCCCAACCCCGGGACUGCGCUUGGAACUGCGUGGCGAGAGUGCAGGAGGGGCAGGCGGAAUUCCUGGUGUAGCGGUGAAAUGCGUAGAUAUCAGGAGGAACACCGGUGGCGAAGGCGGCCUGCUGGACUGCAACUGACGUUGAGGCCCGAAAGCGUGGGGAGCAAACAGGAUGAGAUACCCUAGUAGUC
This 440-nucleotide ribosomal RNA is filed under the name uncultured bacterium. RNAcentral's name for it is "partial 16S ribosomal RNA". It matches the Rfam family "Bacterial small subunit ribosomal RNA", at positions 338 to 795 of the family's 1533-position model. The record is from RNAcentral.